RNAcentral lists this ribosomal RNA (423 nucleotides) under Micrococcus sp. oral taxon F54. Its description in RNAcentral is "bacterial SSU rRNA". It matches the Rfam family "Bacterial small subunit ribosomal RNA", at positions 28 to 451 of the family's 1533-position model. Lineage: Bacteria; Bacillati; Actinomycetota; Actinomycetes; Micrococcales; Micrococcaceae. The record is from RNAcentral.
GAUGAACGCUGGCGGCGUGCUUAACACAUGCAAGUCGAACGAUAAAGCCCAGCUUGCUGGGUGGAUUAGUGGCGAACGGGUGAGUAACACGUGAGUAACCUGCCCUUGACUCUGGGAUAAGCCCGGGAAACUGGGUCUAAUACCGGAUAGGAGCGCCUGUCGCAUGACGGGUGUUGGAAAGAUUUUUCGGUCAUGGAUGGACUCGCGGCCUAUCAGCUUGUUGGUGAGGUAAUGGCUCACCAAGGCGACGACGGGUAGCCGGCCUGAGAGGGUGACCGGCCACACUGGGACUGAGACACGGCCCAGACUCCUACGGGAGGCAGCAGUGGGGAAUAUUGCACAAUGGGCGGAAGCCUGAUGCAGCGACGCCGCGUGAGGGAUGACGGCCUUCGGGUUGUAAACCUUCUUUUCAGUAAGGGAAAG